GCCCGAGCGGGCGUCUGCCGCCGCUCAGCCCCAGCGCCGCGCGAAGCACGAGGCGGCCGGGAGCACGGUGCGGCCGAGGCAGGCGGCCAGGGGUCAGCCGCUCUGGAAGCGGCUUAGGAGCGAGCCCCAGCGCGGGGAUAACGGUGCCCUGGCCUCGCGGUGCCGGCACGCGGCAGCCCCGGGGCGCGAGUCGCAGCAGGUCGGCUGCCUCGCUCCCCUCGGGGCGGCACCCCCCUCCCCCCGCACAGCACACACGGGGUGCGGGGACCGCGUGUAAAGCGGUCUCCCCGCACAGCCCCGUACAUCCUGAACAGCCACGGAGAGAAAGGCGGGGCGCCAGGGCCCUCUGGGCCCGCAUUGCGCGGAGCUUUGUGCGGAAUGAGUAGCACCGAGCUGCGGCUGAGGAGCAGGCUGUUAUUAGUGAAUAGAAUCGCUAUUUGCUCUGACCAGGAAUGUCCCGUGUAACCAGAUUUCAAAAAUAAAGACGACAAAAAGCAGCAUUCCCAGUGAAAAGGCAUCUUCGUACACUGCCUUUGUCAGCAACGGAUCAAAGGUAAACUUCCAGUCACAUAUAAAGCAAACAAACAAACCAAAAAACCCACAAACAACGAGAUGCUGGUCUUUCACAUGUAUCAGAAAUAAGGAGCAGAAAUCAAAUGUCUCAUGCCAGUCUGGAACUGAAUGAUUAGACGAUCUUUAGCAGUGGAGGCUGAAAAAGGCUUGGCUGAGUGACUACUGAAAGGAUACCUGAGAGAAGGAAUGCAUUGUACCUCUGUUGAAUACCUGAGUAAGAAUUUCAGAACUUGGCCUGGAGAUUGGUUGCACUUAAAGAUUAUGGAGGACUGCCUGGAGUAGACAGAUCUGCAAUUGAAAGCCCUUCACUUGCAGAGGCAGAACCAUCAGGUCUCUAAAGUCUGUCAUAUGUUGUUAAAGAAACCAAACUGUGGAAGGAUAAUGCUCCACAUGAAAAGCUCAAGAGUGGAGGAGAACUGUAGACUAAAUGGUUGCCAACUAUGGAUAUUAAAAGAUACUUUAGCCAGUCUGUGCCAAGAAGAAACUUACUAGUAGACACAAGAUUGGUGAGACAUCAUUCCAAUAUGGCUCUUAGCUACGUCUCACAAAUUUCAGUAAGUUCUAAUUGUUAUUUAAAUGUAGAUGUUUUCCAGCUAUUAGUCUUUCUUCCAUUUUGUUUGGAUUGAUCUUCAGCCAGUUUUCUCCAACUCACACUCUCAGUUUGGGUAGGUCUGGAGAUCAAAGGCUUUUU
This is a long non-coding RNA of Numida meleagris (helmeted guineafowl), 1264 nucleotides long. RefSeq lists it as uncharacterized. The transcript is spliced from 6 exons. NCBI's taxonomy places the organism in Eukaryota, Metazoa, Chordata, Aves, Galliformes, Numididae. The record is from RefSeq and is a predicted model, not a curated record.